GCGCACCAGGCGAGAAACUUUACAAUGUGCGAAAGCACGAUAAGGGAACUCUGAGUGCCUCCUAAGGAGGCUGUUCAGGUGUCUAAAAGCACCUGGAGUAAGGGCUGGGUAAGACCGGUGCCAGCCGCCGCGGUAACACCGGCAGCCCAGGUGGUAGCCACUUUUAUUGGGUCUAAGGCGUCCGUAGCCGGUUGAGUAAGUUCCUUGGGAAAUUUGGGCUGCUCAACAGUCAAGCUUCCAGGGAAUACUGCUCGACUUGGGACUGGGAGAGGUCAGAGGUACUCCAGGGGUAGGGGUGAAAUCCAUUAAUCCCUGGGGACCACCGGUAGCGAAGGCGUCUGACCAGACCAGGUCCGACGGUGAGGGACGAAGGCUAGGGUCGCGAACCGGGAUUAGAUA
This 399-nucleotide ribosomal RNA is filed under the name uncultured microorganism. Its description in RNAcentral is "bacterial SSU rRNA". It matches the Rfam family "Archaeal small subunit ribosomal RNA", at positions 330 to 735 of the family's 1478-position model. The record is from RNAcentral.